AUUCCAGCUCCAAUAGCGUAUAUUAAAGUUGUUGCAGUUAAAAAGCUCGUAGUUGGAUUUCUGGUAGGAGUGACCGACCCGGACUUGAUUGUCCGUGUGUUUGUGUUGUCUCCGGCCAUCCUCGUGGAGAGCGUUUUUGGCAUUAAUUUGUCGGAGACGGGACCCGCGUCAUUUACUGUGAAAAAAUUAGAGUGUUUAAAGCAGGCAAUAGCUUGAAUACAUUAGCAUGGAAUAAUAAGAUAGGACUUUGGUGCUAUUUUGUUGGUUUGCACACCAAGGUAAUGAUUAACAGGAACAAUUUGGGGUAUUCGUAUUCAUAUGUCAGAGGUGAAAUUCUUGGAUUUUAGGAAGACGAACUACUGCGAAAGCAUUUAUCAAGGAUGUUUUCAUCA
This 392-nucleotide ribosomal RNA is filed under the name Labyrinthulaceae sp. RNAcentral's name for it is "partial small subunit ribosomal RNA". It matches the Rfam family "Eukaryotic small subunit ribosomal RNA", at positions 582 to 975 of the family's 1831-position model. The record is from RNAcentral. Lineage: Eukaryota; Bigyra; Labyrinthulida; Labyrinthulaceae.